This 244-nucleotide unclassified non-coding RNA is filed under the name Melitaea cinxia (Glanville fritillary). RNAcentral describes it as "misc RNA ENSMCXG00005014128.1". Lineage: Eukaryota; Metazoa; Arthropoda; Insecta; Lepidoptera; Nymphalidae. The record is from RNAcentral.
AUUCACUUGCAUAAAGAAGUUCUUGGAUCUGUGAAACAACAGCCAUUAGGAAUGAGAAGAAAAUUAAAAAUCGUGCAGCAGGCUAAGGGCUACAUUAAGCGCCAUGAAGGACAGUUGCAAGAACGAUUGGCACAGUCUAAAAGUACAAGGGAUAUUUAUGCAAGGUUUAAUAUCUUAUUGGCUACAAAAUGGCAGCAAUUGAAACGUGAAGCGGCAAAUACUUCAAAUCUUUUUAUACCCUGGG